AUACGGAGGAUCCGAGCGUUAUCCGGAUUUAUUGGGUUUAAAGGGUGCGUAGGCUGUUCGGAAAGUCAGGGGUGAAAGCCCGGCGCCUAACGCCGGAACUGCCUUUGAUACUUCCGAGCUGGAAUACGGAUGCCGUGGGAGGAAUGAGUAGUGUAGCGGUGAAAUGCAUAGAUAUUACUCAGAACACCGAUUGCGAAGGCAUCUCACGAAUCCGUCAUUGACGCUGAGGCACGAAAGCGUGGGGAUCAAACAGGAUUAGAUACCCUGGUAGUCCACGCAGUAAACGAUGAUGACUAACCGUCGGCGAUACACAGUCGGUGGCCAAGCGAAAGCGAUAAGUCAUCCACCUGGGGAGUACGUUCGCAAGAAUGAAACUCAAAGGAAUUGACGGGG
This 393-nucleotide ribosomal RNA is filed under the name uncultured bacterium. RNAcentral describes it as "partial 16S ribosomal RNA". It matches the Rfam family "Bacterial small subunit ribosomal RNA", at positions 523 to 918 of the family's 1533-position model. The record is from RNAcentral.